AUUGAACGCUGGCGGCAGGCCUAACACAUGCAAGUCGAGCGGAUGAAGGGAGCUUGCUCCUGGAUUCAGCGGCGGACGGGCGAGUAAUGCCUAGGAAUCUGCCUGGUAGUGGGGGAUAACGUCCGGAAACGGCGCUAAUACCGCAUACGUCCUGAGGGAGAAAGUGGGGGAUCUUCGGACCUCACGCUAUCAGAUGAGCCUAGGUCGGAUUAGCUAGUUGGUGGGGUAAAGGCCUACCAAGGCGACGAUCCGUAACUGGUCUGAGAGGAUGAUCAGUCACACUGGAACUGAGACACGGUCCAGACUCCUACGGGAGGCAGCAGUGGGGAAUAUUGGACAAUGGGCGAAAGCCUGAUCCAGCCAUGCCGCGUGUGUGAAGAAGGUCUUCGGAUUGUAAAGCACUUUAAGUUGGGAGGAAGGGCAGUAAGUUAAUACCUUGCUGUUUUGACGUUACCAACAGAAUAAGCACCGGCUAACUUCGUG
This 483-nucleotide ribosomal RNA is filed under the name uncultured bacterium. Its description in RNAcentral is "partial 16S ribosomal RNA". It matches the Rfam family "Bacterial small subunit ribosomal RNA", at positions 30 to 507 of the family's 1533-position model. The record is from RNAcentral.